RNAcentral lists this ribosomal RNA (253 nucleotides) under uncultured bacterium. RNAcentral describes it as "partial 16S ribosomal RNA". It matches the Rfam family "Bacterial small subunit ribosomal RNA", at positions 524 to 776 of the family's 1533-position model. The record is from RNAcentral.
UACGGAGGGAGCUAGCGUUGUUCGGAAUUACUGGGCGUAAAGCGCACGUAGGCGGAUUGUUAAGUGAGGGGUGAAAUCCCAGGGCUCAACCCUGGAACUGCCUUUCAUACUGGCAAUCUCGAGUCCGAGAGAGGUGAGUGGAAUUCCGAGUGUAGAGGUGAAAUUCGUAGAUAUUCGGAGGAACACCAGUGGCGAAGGCGGCUCACUGGCUCGGUACUGACGCUGAGGUGCGAAAGCGUGGGGAGCAAACAGG